This 45-nucleotide non-coding RNA is filed under the name Schistosoma margrebowiei. Lineage: Eukaryota; Metazoa; Platyhelminthes; Trematoda; Strigeidida; Schistosomatidae. The record is from RNAcentral.
AUCCAUCUGACAAGUCCUAAAUAGGACGAAACGCGCGUCCUGGAU